RNAcentral lists this long non-coding RNA (567 nucleotides) under Physcomitrium patens. RNAcentral's name for it is "long non-coding RNA (PPAT_LNC010844)". The record is from RNAcentral. Lineage: Eukaryota; Viridiplantae; Streptophyta; Bryopsida; Funariales; Funariaceae.
UUGAUUAGGAUUUGGUUUUGAUUUAGGAUUAGGAUUAGGAUUUAGUUAAGAUUUGAUUUAGGAUUAGACUAUGAUUUGGAUUUGGUUAGGAUUUGAUUUAGGAUUAGGAUUUGAUUUAGUAUUUAGGAUUUGAUUAGGGUUUGGUUAGGGUUUGAUUUAGGAUUUGGUUUAGGAUUUAAGGUUUGAUUAGGAUUUGAUCAGGAUUUGAUUUAGGGUUUAAGAUUUUAUUUGAGUUUGUUUAGGAUUUAAGAUUUAGUUAGUUUUUGGCCUAAAGUUUGAAUGAAGUCCAAUAAGCUUUCAAGUGGGAUUAAAUUAAGAUUGAAUUGAGAUGUAUUUGAGAUAUGUUUGUAAUCAUUCUAAUAUUCCUUUAAGAUUUCUUUGAAAUUUCUUUGAAAUUUCUUUGAGGUUUCUCUGAAUUUGAUUAAAGCUUGUUUAGCAUUGUUAGUGUUCUAUUAGAAUUAGGAUUUUUUUGUUGUAAUUUCCAUUCUACCUUCCACAGCUAGGUGCCUGAAGGAUUUUCAAGUAAGAGUUUACGUAUGAUGACAGCAUUCCUUGUCAAAGGCUUCA